Molecule: ribosomal RNA, 253 nt
Filed under: uncultured bacterium
Lineage: Bacteria
Description: partial 16S ribosomal RNA
Rfam family: Bacterial small subunit ribosomal RNA
Source: RNAcentral
UACAGAGGGUGCAAGCGUUAAUCGGAGUUACUGGGCGUAAAGCGUGCGCAGGCGGUGAUGUAAGACAGAUGUGAAAUCCCCGGGCUCAACCUGGGAACUGCAUUUGUGACUGCAUCGCUGGAGUGCGGCAGAGGGGGAUGGAAUUCCGCGUGUAGCAGUGAAAUGCGUAGAUAUGCGGAGGAACACCGAUGGCGAAGGCAAUCCCCUGGGCCUGCACUGACGCUCAUGCACGAAAGCGUGGGGAGCAAACAGG